AAGUCGUAACAAGGUUUCCGUAGGUGAACCUGCGGAAGGAUCAUUAAUG
This 49-nucleotide ribosomal RNA is filed under the name Peziza fimeti. RNAcentral's name for it is "partial 18S ribosomal RNA". It matches the Rfam family "Eukaryotic small subunit ribosomal RNA", at positions 1786 to 1831 of the family's 1831-position model. Lineage: Eukaryota; Fungi; Ascomycota; Pezizomycetes; Pezizales; Pezizaceae. The record is from RNAcentral.